AACGUAGGUGGCGAGCGUUAUCCGGAUUCAUUGGGCGUAAAGAGCUUGUAGGUGGCUCCUGUAAGUUGGACGUGAAAGUCCCGGGCUUAACCCGGGGAGGCCGUUCAAUACUGCGGGGCUGGAGGGCGUCAGAGGGGGGUGGAAUUCCUGGUGUAGCAGUGAAAUGCGUAGAUAUCAGGAGGAACACCCGUGGCGAAAGCGGCCCCCUGGGGCGCGCCUGACACUGAGAAGCGAAAGCUAGGGGAGCAAA
Molecule: ribosomal RNA, 250 nt
Filed under: uncultured bacterium
Lineage: Bacteria
Description: partial 16S ribosomal RNA
Rfam family: Bacterial small subunit ribosomal RNA
Source: RNAcentral